RNAcentral lists this small RNA (539 nucleotides) under Pongo abelii (Sumatran orangutan). Its description in RNAcentral is "retained intron". The record is from RNAcentral. Lineage: Eukaryota; Metazoa; Chordata; Mammalia; Primates; Hominidae.
CCCCAGUUCACCCUUUGUUGCCCCAGUCUCUCUUCCUCACCCCUGCCUCAGGAUGCCUGGCUCUGAGCCACCCUGCUUUGGCGCAGGUUCUCCCCGGAGGUGCUGGGCCUGUGUGCAAGCACAGCGCUGGUGUGGGUGGUGAUGGAGGUGCUGGCCCUGCUCCUGGGCCUCUACCUGGCCACCGUGCGCAGUGACCUGAGCACCUUUCACCUGCUGGCCUACAGUGGCUACAAAUACGUGGGAAUGAUCCUCAGUGUGCUCACGGGGCUGCUGUUCGGCAGCGAUGGCUACUACGUGGCGCUGGCCUGGACCUCAUCGGCGCUCAUGUACUUCAUUGUGCGCUCUUUGCGGACAGCAGCCCUGGGCCCCGACAGCAUGGGGGGCCCCGUCCCCCGGCAGCGUCUCCAGCUCUACCUGACUCUGGGAGCUGCAGCCUUCCAGCCCCUCAUCAUAUACUGGCUGACUUUCCACCUGGUCCGGUGACCCCCUGGCCCCAGAUGGCACUGAGUUUUUCAUUCAUUGAAGAUUUGAUUUCCUUG